RNAcentral lists this ribosomal RNA (424 nucleotides) under Fusobacteriota bacterium. RNAcentral describes it as "Fusobacteria bacterium partial 16S ribosomal RNA". It matches the Rfam family "Bacterial small subunit ribosomal RNA", at positions 355 to 776 of the family's 1533-position model. Lineage: Bacteria; Fusobacteriati; Fusobacteriota. The record is from RNAcentral.
UGAGGAAUAUUGGUCAAGGGGCGAGAGCCUGAACCAGCCAAGUAGCGUGCAGGAUGACGGCCCUAUGGGUUGUAAACUGCUUUUAUGUGGGGAUAAAGUGCGUGACGUGUCAUGCAUUGCAGGUACCACAUGAAUAAGGACCGGCUAAUUCCGUGCCAGCAGCCGCGGUAAGACGGAAGGUCCGGGCGUUAUCCGGAUUUAUUGGGUUUAAAGGGAGCGUAGGCUGUCUAGUAAGCGUGUUGUGAAAUUUACCGGCUCAACCGGUGGCUUGCAGCGCGAACUGGACGACUUGAGUAUGCAGGAAGUAGGCGGAAUUCAUGGUGUAGCGGUGAAAUGCUUAGAUAUCAUGACGAACUCCGAUUGCGCAGGCAGCUUACUGUAGCAUAACUGACGCUGAUGCUCGAAAGUGCGGGUAUCAAACAGG